GUCUUUUAGAUUAUAAUUUAAAGUCUAACCUGCCCAAUGAAUUUAUUUAAAUGGCUGCAGUAUUUUGACUGUACAAAGGUAGCAUAAUAAUUAGUUUUUUAAUUGAAAGCUGGUAUGAAAGGUUGAACGAAAAAAUAACUGUCUCAAUUUAAUUUUAUUAAAAUUUUAUUUUUUAGUUAAAAAGCUAAAAUUUAUUUUAAAGACGAGAAGACCCUAUAGAGUUUAAUAUUUAAUUUAUAUUUUUUAUAGAAUUAUUAUAUAAAGUAUAAUAUUUUAUUGGGGUGAUAUAUAAAUUUAAAAAACUUUAAUUUUUUAAUACAUUAAUUUAUGAUUUAUUGAUCCAUUUAAAUGAUUAAAAGAUUAAAUUACCUUAGGGAUAACAGCGUAAUUUUUUUAAAGAGUUCUAAUCGAAAAAAAAGAUUGCGACCUCGAUGUUGGAUUAAAAUUAAAAUUUGGUGUAGAAGCUAAAUUAUUAGGUCUGUUCGACCUUUAAAAUUUUACAUGAUCUGAGUUUAAAUCGGCGUGAGCCAGGUUGGUUUCUAUCUUAAAAUUUUUAUAAUAUUUUAGUACGAAAGGACCAAAUAUUUAUAAUAUUUAUUUUAUUUUGAAUUC
RNAcentral lists this ribosomal RNA (612 nucleotides) under Limnebius sp. MNCN AI463. Its description in RNAcentral is "partial 16S ribosomal RNA". The stretch from base 376 to 534 matches the Rfam family "Bacterial large subunit ribosomal RNA", at positions 2473 to 2632 of the family's 2925-position model. The record is from RNAcentral. Lineage: Eukaryota; Metazoa; Arthropoda; Insecta; Coleoptera; Hydraenidae.